RNAcentral lists this ribosomal RNA (496 nucleotides) under uncultured bacterium. Its description in RNAcentral is "partial 16S ribosomal RNA". It matches the Rfam family "Bacterial small subunit ribosomal RNA", at positions 29 to 507 of the family's 1533-position model. The record is from RNAcentral.
AUGAACGCCGGCGGCGUGCCCAAUACAUGCAAGUCGAGCGAACGGACGAGAAGCUUGCUUUUCUGAUGUUAGCGGCGGACGGGUGAGUAACACGUGGAUAACCUACCUAUAAGACUGGGAUAACUUCGGGAAACCGGAGCUAAUACCGGAUAAUAUUUUGAACCGCAUGGUUCAAAAGUGAAAGACGGUCUUGCUGUCACUUAUAGAUGGAUCCGCGCUGCAUUAGCUAGUUGGUAAGGUAACGGCUUACCAAGGCAACGAUGCAUAGCCGACCUGAGAGGGUGAUCGGCCACACUGGAACUGAGACACGGUCCAGACUCCUACGGGAGGCAGCAGUAGGGAAUCUUCCGCAAUGGGCGAAAGCCUGACGGAGCAACGCCGCGUGAGUGAUGAAGGUCUUCGGAUCGUAAAACUCUGUUAUUAGGGAAGAACAUAUGUGUAAGUAACUGUGCACAUCUUGACGGUACCUAAUCAGAAAGCCACGGCUAACUACGUG